Molecule: ribosomal RNA, 672 nt
Filed under: Escherichia coli
Lineage: Bacteria; Pseudomonadati; Pseudomonadota; Gammaproteobacteria; Enterobacterales; Enterobacteriaceae
Description: partial 23S ribosomal RNA
Rfam family: Bacterial large subunit ribosomal RNA
Source: RNAcentral
CUUAUGCGUUGUUGGGUAGGGGAGCGUUCUGUAAGCCUGCGAAGGUGUGCUGUGAGGCAUGCUGGAGGUAUCAGAAGUGCGAAUGCUGACAUAAGUAACGAUAAAGCGGGUGAAAAGCCCGCUCGCCGGAAGACCAAGGGUUCCUGUCCAACGUUAAUCGGGGCAGGGUGAGUCGACCCCUAAGGCGAGGCCGAAAGGCGUAGUCGAUGGGAAACAGGUUAAUAUUCCUGUACUUGGUGUUACUGCGAAGGGGGGACGGAGAAGGCUAUGUUGGCCGGGCGACGGUUGUCCCGGUUUAAGCGUGUAGGCUGGUUUUCCAGGCAAAUCCGGAAAAUCAAGGCUGAGGCGUGAUGACGAGGCACUACGGUGCUGAAGCAACAAAUGCCCUGCUUCCAGGAAAAGCCUCUAAGCAUCAGGUAACAUCAAAUCGUACCCCAAACCGACACAGGUGGUCAGGUAGAGAAUACCAAGGCGCUUGAGAGAACUCGGGUGAAGGAACUAGGCAAAAUGGUGCCGUAACUUCGGGAGAAGGCACGCUGAUAUGUAGGUGAAGUCCCUCGCGGAUGGAGCUGAAAUCAGUCGAAGAUACCAGCUGGCUGCAACUGUUUAUUAAAAACACAGCACUGUGCAAACACGAAAGUGGACGUAUACGGUGUGACGCCUGCCCGGUGC